This 787-nucleotide unclassified non-coding RNA is filed under the name Hevea brasiliensis (rubber tree). The record is from RNAcentral. Lineage: Eukaryota; Viridiplantae; Streptophyta; Magnoliopsida; Malpighiales; Euphorbiaceae.
CUCCAAUUUGGCCUCUUUCAGUUCUUCAACACAAUGAGUUUUUUGAGACCGUCUGUAUUGUAUCAGUUCCUUCUAACUUCCAUUACUCUAAAAUGGAUGCCCUGCCAGAGCUGGGGUUUUCUUCGAUGGCCUGGUUUUGAUGGCUUCUUGAGGCUUCUGGUUUUGCUGCUUUUAUGGUCUAUGUGUUCCGAGAUUCGCUUCAUUCCAUCCUCUUCCAUGUACCCCACUCUUCGCGUUGGUGAUCGGGUCCUUGUUGAGAAGGCUUCAUACUACAUCCGAUCUCCUGCUAUAAAUGAUAUUGUCAUAUUCCGAGCUCCAAAACAGCCUGGAACCAAUGAGGAAGUUGUUUUUAUUAAGAGAAUUGUUGCAAAAGCUGGAGAUUAUGUUCAGGUUCAUCGUGGAUCACUGUAUGUCAAUGGAAAAGCUCAGACUGAAGACUUCAUAGCAGCACGACCAACAUACACAACAGAGUUAAUUUAUGUGCCUAAAGAUCAUAUUUAUGUCUUGGGAGACAACCGCAAUAACAGCUACGAUUCGCAUGACUGGGGACCCCUUCCUGUAAAGAACAUCAUCGGAAGAUUUGUCACGUGUUGGCACAGGCCUUCAAGAAGCUGACCCCAUGAUCAUAUGGGUUAGAUACACCGGAAAUCUCCCACGUCUUGAUAGAUAUCAUCGCCAUAUUUCUGUGUCCCCAGCAUAAUUAGUCAUUGAUUGAUUGUUUCUUUGUUUAGUCAUUCGUUGGUGCCAAUAUGCAUGCUUGUAAACUGUGAGUUGAGUUGCAGAGAAU